RNAcentral lists this ribosomal RNA (442 nucleotides) under uncultured bacterium. Its description in RNAcentral is "partial 16S ribosomal RNA". It matches the Rfam family "Bacterial small subunit ribosomal RNA", at positions 338 to 795 of the family's 1533-position model. The record is from RNAcentral.
CCUACGGGGGGCAGCAGUGGGGGAUAUUGGACAAUGGGGGGAACCCUGAUCCAGCGACGCCGCGUGAGUGAAGAAGUAUCUCGGUAUGUAAAGCUCUAUCAGCAGGGAAGAAGAAAUGACGGUACCUGAGUAAGAAGCCCCGGCUAACUACGUGCCAGCAGCCGCGGUAAUACGUAGGGGGCAAGCGUUAUCCGGAAUUACUGGGUGUAAAGGGAGCGUGGACGGUGAUGUAAGUCUGGAGUGAAAGGCGGGGGCCCAACCCCCGGACUGCUCUGGAAACUAUGUGACUGGAGUGCAGGAGAGGUGAGCGGAAUUCCUAGUGUAGCGGUGAAAUGCUUAGAUAUGACGAAGAACCCCGAUUGCGAAGGCAGCUUGCUGCAGCGGAACUGACGCUGAUGCUCGAAAGCGCGGGUAUCGAACAGGAUUAGAUACCCGUGUAGUC